This is a long non-coding RNA of Neofelis nebulosa (Clouded leopard), 2025 nucleotides long. RefSeq lists it as uncharacterized. The transcript has 3 exons. The record is from RefSeq and is a predicted model, not a curated record. Lineage: Eukaryota; Metazoa; Chordata; Mammalia; Carnivora; Felidae.
AGUUUCCCCUGCCCAAGGCCAACUGCAAGCCAAGAAGAGAAAUCCCCAUGAGCAAAUGAUAUGCAAAAGGGCAACAAUAAAGAAUUUCUCAAGUUCUCCUGUAGACUGAAGUGACUGGGGGACACUCACAGGCCCAGAGAGAUGAGAAGAUGACGGCCUCCAGCAGUGACAUCCUGUGGGCCAGGCUGGCUCCCCAGGGACAAGCGCCUGGAUCCACAGGAUUGGAAAUCUUGUGCCCAGAAAGAAAUGCUUUUGUCAGGUAACAUGGUGAUGGUUCUUUGGACUUCAGUUUCUAUUGGCCAACAUUGGAUAGAAAUCGGAGCAAAGAUGUCCAUUAGUGGAAUCCACAGGGGUGAAGAUACAUGAGGUUGACUUCCAGCAACCUUCCAUGAAAGCUAGAAGACUACGUUUUCACACAAUAAAAGUACCAAUCGACUUGAUGGAAACUAUGGUUGUGUGCGAUUCUGCUGGAGACCAUCUCAUUCUUGCAUCUGCAUGUGGGAAAAAGAUACAUAGAGAAAACAAGGAAGUUACCGCACAGUGUUACUAAGAAGACUGAGUAUUUGUGCCACUCUCCAUAGUACUUGGUACUGUCCUACUCAGGGGAAAAGACACACUCAGCCCAAGCACCUACUCUGAGCUCUCCAAGCAUGACCCUUGUCUCUGACUUGGAGUCCAUGGGAAUCAGGAAAGAAAAUAAGAUUUUUUAGUGAAAGAAGCAAAGGUUGUUUGAGAAGAGGGGAGAAACGUGAUCAAGACAGAGCCAGUUACAGGUCUUUCUAACCAUCACAUUUCACCUGCUGUGUCUAAGUGCUCAGUAAUAUGCAGAGAUCUUAAUAUUAAAAACUACCUGCGGGUUCCCUGGGCGGUUGAGUCUGUUAAGCCGCGAACUCUUGGUUUCGGUUCAGGUCAUGGUCUCACAGCUAUGGGAUCGAGCCCCACUGCUGGCUCUACGCUGAGGGCGGAGCCUGCUUGGAUUCUCUCUCUCUCUUUCUCUCCCUCUGUCCCUCCCCCGCUUAUGCAUGCACUCUCUCUCCUUCAAAGUAAAUAAAUAAACUUUGGAAAACAAGCAAGCAAAAAAACAAAAACAAAAACAAAAAACACCUAAGUGAAUCUCUCUCUCUCUUUUUGUUUAAUUGAUGUCUGUGCUAGGCCUUGACCGGGGACUCCCACAGCGGGUACAGCUGGCUCCUUCGCUGCUGCUGCUGCCUGAGCCUCAGGUUUUCCUUGUACUUGUUCAGCAGGCGGAGCAUGGCCCAUGUCUUCUUGGGCCGCAGAUCUAAGGGCUUGUACUUCUUAGCCUGGAGAAUCUCCUGAGGUUCUCUGGUUGAUGAGGGUGAGAACAGGGCAUGAUCUCACAGCUCGUGGGUUCGAGCCCCACAUCGGGCUCUGUGCUGACAGCUCAGAGCCUGGAGCCUGCUUCGGAUUCUGGGUCUCCCUCUCUCUUUCUCUGCCCUUCCCUCGCUCACACUCUGUCUCUCUCGCUCUCAAAAAAUAAAUAAACAUUAAAAAAAAAAAAAAAAAAGAAGAAAAGAAAAGAAAAAACUAUCCUGAGCUCAAUGUGGAGAGGUGACCUCUCCAAAGCUGGUCCUUUCCUCUGCUCCGGGCUGUGUCCCCAAGCCCAUUCUCGUGGCUGAACAUAAAAAGCACCCAACACAAAACAGUCAACCUGAAUAUCCAGGUGCGCCUGGCAAUCUUCACAAUUUUGAUUUUUCUAGAUGAUUCUGAGGUAACAGACAUCACUUUUCCCAUAGUACUAGAGUGUGGGCACAGUUGGUAAUGGAUAAUAUAACUAUGAAAAUUGUGAUAUUUAAGAUGUCCUUAGACUUAAUCAGCCUUGAUAUGAUAAUAUAACGUUGGUCGGACUAUUCAAAGUCUUUGUGUCUCACCCACCUCAGGAAUGAAACAAAUGAGCUGAGCCCAAAUUCUCGGGACAUUUUGAGCUCCAUCCGUGCAAAAUCCCCUACUCUGGAGAUAACGUGGGCCCCUCAGUAAUACUCAAAAUAUCAAUCUCCCUUCAACAGA